CUCUUCGGGGAUGAUUAAACCGGCGCACGGGUGAGUAACACGUGAGUGACCUGCCUUUUAGACUGGAACAACUUACCGAAAGGUGAGCUAAUGCCGGAUGAGUUAUAUAAGUGCAUGUUUAUAUAGGAAAAGUUGGGGAGACCUGACGCUGAAAGAUGGACUCGCGUCCCAUUAGCUAGUUGGUAGGGUAAUGGCCUACCAAGGCGACGAUGGGUAGCCGGCCUGAGAGGGUGGCCGGCCACACUGGGACUGAGACACGGCCCAGACUCCUACGGGAGGCAGCAGUGGGGAAUUUUGCGCAAUGCUCGUAAGAGUGACGCAGCGACGCCGCGUGAAUGACGAAGGCCUUCGGGUCGUAAAGUUCUUUCGACAGGGAAGAAAAUGCCUAUAAGUAACUGUGUAUGUAUUGACGGUACCUGUAUAAGCAGCCCCGGCUAACUCCGUGCCAGCAGCCGCGGUAAUACGGAGGGGGCGAGCGUUGUUCGGAGUGACUGGGCGUAAAGAGCACGUAGGCGGUGUUGUAAGUCAUUAGUCAAAGACUAGAGCUCAACUUUAGUAAGGCUAGUGAUACUAUAAUACUAGAGUAUCAGAGAGGAUUGCAGAAUUCCUGGUGUAGCGGUGAAAUGCGUAGAUAUCAGGAGGAAUACCGUUAGCGAAGGCGGCAAUCUGGCUGGAAACUGACGCUGAGGUGCGAAAGCGUGGGUAGCAAACAGGAUUAGAUACCCUGGUAGUCCACGCUGUAAACGAUGGAUGCUAGGUGUUGGGCUUUU
This 770-nucleotide ribosomal RNA is filed under the name uncultured bacterium. RNAcentral's name for it is "bacterial SSU rRNA". It matches the Rfam family "Bacterial small subunit ribosomal RNA", at positions 76 to 832 of the family's 1533-position model. The record is from RNAcentral.